GUAGAGUGCGCGAGAUGGAUAGGCACAUAUGUAAGGACUUAGUGGGCAGUAGCAGAGAAUCAUGUGAGUGGAGAACUUGCGAAUGAAAUUAGGUCGAAUCGUUUGUCGGUCAUCCUGCAAAAUUCCUCCUCAGUCAGCACCUCGAGACACGCGGACUCACCCAGGCAUCCUCUGCUGCUCAAUAGUUUCAUUGCAUUACUAAUCGCCCUUUUGCGUGUAUGUGAAAUUCAAGAACUUCUAUAAAUACGUUGAAAGUAAGGAACACAUCACGAAACUGCUGUUCACGUGCAGUACAAGUACAGACCAGUCAUGUAGGUGUAACCUUCCUGUCCUACAAGAGUGGAAGGCCACCGAUACUGCCUUCCUUUGCAUGUACAUCUUAACAAAACCAAUUUACAUGUGAACUCUUGCUACACAAGACCAUGGAUACUUCAAACCACAAAAAGAGGAUACACCAAACAUGACUGGUGUUACAUCAUUACACGGAAACCAAAGGGCAUACCAUAUUAAAAAGACCUUGAUAUGUGGCAGUCCACUUCCUGAUUUUUCAAAGACAAGGAAAUAAAAGGCAUCAUAAUCCAAGAAGUUAAAUUCUGAAAUGAAGUACUAGCACACUGAGGGACAAUGUCAUCCCAUCCAGCACUUAUUAUCUAUCAACAAUGAUCCAUAUGAAUCAAAAUUACUUUCACCUUACCUUCCAUUUGAAUCCAGGACAUAAAACACGCAAGGUCUUGCUGGAGACCACUGCACAUCAACAAUUGGUGAAAAGUCUUGUGCAGACUGCCAAGAGGUCAAGGGAUGAUCAAUCUCAUUGCUGUGAAGCCGCACAACUCCAUCCCCACUUCCAACUAGCAGGUAACGAUUGUCAUGGGGACACACAGCCAGACACGUGGCUUCACAUCCUGGCUCUGUAAUACACCAUUCUCAAUAAAGUGAAAGAUUAAUUCCAUCCUUAUGACCAU
Long non-coding RNA from Scylla paramamosain (green mud crab), 962 nucleotides. RefSeq lists it as uncharacterized. NCBI's taxonomy places the organism in Eukaryota, Metazoa, Arthropoda, Malacostraca, Decapoda, Portunidae. The record is from RefSeq and is a predicted model, not a curated record. The transcript has 3 exons.